RNAcentral lists this ribosomal RNA (253 nucleotides) under uncultured bacterium. RNAcentral describes it as "partial 16S ribosomal RNA". It matches the Rfam family "Bacterial small subunit ribosomal RNA", at positions 524 to 776 of the family's 1533-position model. The record is from RNAcentral.
UACGUAGGGGGCAAGCGUUGUCCGGAUUCAUUGGGCGUAAAGAGCGUGUAGGCGGCCAGGUAGGUCGGUUGUGAAAACUGGAGGCUCAACCUUCAGAGGUCGACCGAAACCAUCUGGCUAAAGUCCGGGAGAGGAGAGUGGAAUUCCUGGUGUAGCGGUGAAAUGCGCAGAUAUCAGGAGGAACACCGAUGGCGAAGGCAGGUCUCUGGGCCACUACUGACGCUGAGGAGCGAAAGCGUGGGGAGCGAACAGG